GAGGCGCUGGAGCGGCAGCUGAGAUAUUCUGGAAACCCUAGGGGUUUCUGAAAAUUGUUUUUCGUUUUGGGUUUCAAUGUAAUUGAGCUGGGGUAUUUGGGCCAUUGUAAUUGGGUUUAGUUUUUGUUGUAAUUGGGCAGUGUAAAUGGACUUAUGGAUUUUUAAUAUUUUUUUAUUUUUUAUUGGGCCGGGCAAAUUGGGUAUUACAACUAAUACUACUUUUUCCCUGUCACUAUACAAACUUCCUACGUGUCUCAAUUAGUAAUUGGCUACCAAAUUCUAAAACAACAAAUUCCAUUGUUUAAGAUUCACUAAUUGUUAUAUUCACUUGCAUCAUUUAUC
RNAcentral lists this long non-coding RNA (342 nucleotides) under Gossypium raimondii (Peruvian cotton). RNAcentral's name for it is "long non-coding RNA (GRAI_LNC002224)". The record is from RNAcentral. Lineage: Eukaryota; Viridiplantae; Streptophyta; Magnoliopsida; Malvales; Malvaceae.